UAAAACAAUACUUUAAAGAAAAAGGAUCGAUUUGCAUUUGAUUAUUGGCGGUUUUGUCUUGUUUUAU
Molecule: transfer RNA, 67 nt
Filed under: Perna viridis (Asian green mussel)
Lineage: Eukaryota; Metazoa; Mollusca; Bivalvia; Mytilida; Mytilidae
Description: tRNA-Ala
Source: RNAcentral